UACGGGGGGAGCAAGCGUUGUUCGGAUUUACUGGGCGUAAAGGGCGCGUAGGCGGUCGUGACAAGUCACUUGUGAAAUCUCCGGGCUUAACUCGGAACGGUCAAGUGAUACUGUCGGACUAGAGUACAGAAGGGGCAACUGGAAUUCUCGGUGUAGCGGUGAAAUGCGCAGAUAUCGGGAGGAACACCAAUUGCGAAGGCAGCUCGCUGGGACGUAACUGACGCUGAGACGCGAAGGCGUGGGGAGCAAACAGGG
Molecule: ribosomal RNA, 255 nt
Filed under: uncultured bacterium
Lineage: Bacteria
Description: partial 16S ribosomal RNA
Rfam family: Bacterial small subunit ribosomal RNA
Source: RNAcentral